RNAcentral lists this long non-coding RNA (1804 nucleotides) under Homo sapiens (human). RNAcentral describes it as "HSALNT0321059". The record is from RNAcentral. Lineage: Eukaryota; Metazoa; Chordata; Mammalia; Primates; Hominidae.
GGGAGAAGGAAGGGCGCCCGGGGAGCAGGCUGGCAGAGUGACCGGGAUUGAUGAGCGGCGCAGCUCUGGAGGGACGCGGGCGAGAGGGUCGCUCCUCGGGGAGAGGGCUGGGUGUUGGCAAAGCAGGUACCAGUAUUUCACGGAAGGAGAAGGAAGAACCGCCCAGGACUGUGUAUAAAUGUCUAUGGGAAUAUUUUUAAGGAUUCAAAAGGCUAGAAGGAGGUGAGAUCAAAAAAUUUUUCCAGCACCACCCAGUGCAACCCGAUCCUGGACACAGAAAUCUAAAAGAUGAUACUUAAAUACUUGAGUUUGAGAGCCUCUAGUUAUAAGGUUUCCUACGUAACAACCUCUCACUUUUCUCAAAAACUGGCUAGUUGACAACCGGCAGUCAAGUUUUGGCUAGUCAAGAAGCUACUUUUUCCUGCAAUAAACCACAUUUAGAGAUAGUACUGGGCUUCAGCAGGAUUGAGGCUAUAUUGAGGUCGCAAGUAUGAACGAGGUACCCACAGAGAUGGGAGGGCCAGGAGAUCCUACUCAUUCAGUACCUCAGAAGCUAUGACACGGGAUAACAGUAGCUUCAGCCCUUUGGAUGAAAUAAUCCUCACUCCCUCAAAAGUGCUCUCUACCCACUCAAAACACAGGCCAUACUACCACCAAUCUGGUAGACUUCAAAAGUAAGGUCUUUCAGCAGCAGAUUUCCUUGUUAACAGGAAGGUACUGACAAGCUUUACCUAAGCCUAUUGGAGCUAUGUUGUAAUUCUGUAUAUAAAUAGAACAGUCGCUGCAGGAAUACUGGAUGAGUCAGAAGAAAGGUCUGUCCUAAGCUGAUGUGACACAUUUCAAAAGGACCAGAAAUUAGAUGCAAUUGAUGACUGAGUUGAUCUCUAAGUGGAUUUAUCUUUGAAAUAAAAAUCAGUGGAUAUCCCAUAUACCCGACCCCACACCCUCCCCCAUUGUCAACAUCCCCAACCAAAGUAGCACAUUUGCUACAAAUAGUGAACCUACAUUGCCAGAUCAUUAUCACCCAAAGUCCAUAGUUUACAUUAGGGUUCACUCUUGGGGCUGUAUAUUCUAUAGGGUUGGACAAAUAUAGAAUAACAUGAACCCACCCUCAUAGUAUCAUAGUAUCAUACAGAGUAUUUUCACUGCCCUAAAAGUCCUCUGUACACCACCUAUUUAUCCCUUCCUCCCCCCAGUCUCUGGCAGCCACUGAAGUUUGACUGUAUCCCUGUCUCCUUAGUUUUGCCUUUUCCGGAAUGCCAUAUAUAAGGAAUCAUACAGUAUGCAGUCUUUCUUUCAAUUUUGCUGUGAAACUAAAACUGCUAAGAAAAUAAAGUCUUAAAAAGAAAAAUCAAUGGAGAAGGGAAAGCCUAUGAUAAGAGGAGAUGAAUGCCUGCUAAAGCGACCAGAAGGCUCUCAGUAAAAAGUAUUCACUAGGUAUCAAUAGAAUCUGCAAAACGAAGAGGUGCUUGAAAGAUGUGAAAGAGGAAACUUAAAGAGAAACCCAGAUGGUACAUCUCUCUUCCUGGCUAGAUAGAUGGAAUGUACAGCCAGAGGAUUGGAUGAGGUCAUCGACGGAGAGAAUGCAGAGAGAAUCCUGGGGCUCACCAACAUGAAGAAUUUGGGACAAGAAAGAAGAUCCAGCAGAGAAGACUGAAAGAAGGCAACUAAUGAAAUAGGAGAGAACCUGGAGAGCACAGAGUCUUAGAGGCCAAGAAAGUGGUUUAAUAUAAUCCGUAUCAAAGCAUUUGUGGUUUAUUUUUGUUAACUGACAAAAGGAUUCUAAAACAUACCUGAAAAGUAU